Molecule: unclassified non-coding RNA, 1147 nt
Filed under: Hevea brasiliensis (rubber tree)
Lineage: Eukaryota; Viridiplantae; Streptophyta; Magnoliopsida; Malpighiales; Euphorbiaceae
Source: RNAcentral
AUUUACACGUUUCGUGCGUUCAUAAGCAUGCACAUGCCCAGCUAGCACUAUAUCCACACCAGCAGCAUAAAUUAAUGGCUCUAUAGCUGCCAUCAUCCCAUCCCCUUCACCUUGAUGAGCAUGGUUGCUAUUAUACCAAGGCACAUGGAAUAGAACAAGUAGCCAAGGUAUCUGCUUCCGGUCAACCUUAGCUAGAUCAGCCUUGAGCCAAUUAUAUUGUUCUGAGUAUUCAUCAUAAUCCGUAUAGGAACCAAGCAUAAUAACAUGGGCUCCUCCAACUUCAAAAGAAUAAUAAAGAUUUGAACUUGAACCACUCUCCUCAAAGGGCAUCUUCCAUCUAGAAUUAUAGGAUUGAAAACCAUCCUUAAUUAUAGGUAUGCUUUCUUCUUCAUGGUUCCCUUCUGUCACCAUCCAUGGCCUUGAACUAGCAAGUGGCUGGACCAAUUCACCAAAUGUGUCCCACCGAUGCUGCAUGUAAUCCGCAUAUGAAAGGUCUCCAGGGAGCAGAUGCACAUCAUAUUUACAUUGGUCAAUAUGGUCUAGAGUUGAUUUAGUCCAGCCAGUUUGGCCUAAAUCUCCAGCCACAGCGAAAGUAAUUGGCAACUGAGCCGGAGGAGUUUUCAGUUGGAAUUCGGGACCUUGUCCUCCACAUCGGUAGAAGUAAACAGUGCUGGGUUCUAGUGGCCCAAUGACAGUGUGGUGUAUCUUUCCAGAGCUAUAUAAUAGAUAACUAUAAGAUGUGCUCUCCCCAUGAGAUAUAGCACUGUACCUUCCAGGCGAAGUUCCAUAUUCAACAGUUGACAGACUAGAUUUAUCAUCAGUUACCCAUGAGACUCGAAUGUGUUUGUCUCCAGCCAAAGAGAUGUGUACCUGCUGGGGAUGAGAAGAAGGCCUGGAACUCCAUGGAAAAUGCAAGGUUUUGCGAGGUGGAGGUCUGAUGUACUCAGAAGUGACAGUUGCAGAGAUUAACAGAAACACCGUUAAGAUCAAUUUAGGCUCCAUUAAUUCAGAAGUAUUAAUUCAGAAGUACAAGUUCUUGCCAUAAUCAAGGAAGAAAUAAAGAUCCAUUACCAUUUCAUUGCGUGUGAAGAUUUUCGGUGAGUGCGGAUAUCGGUGGCAACUGGGGGUGUUUCGGUGUUAAUUGACG